AUUUAAAUAGUUUAUUUAAAACAUUAUAUUUUCAAUGUAAAAUUAAGAAUUUCUUUUUAAAUA
RNAcentral lists this transfer RNA (63 nucleotides) under Lucidina vitalisi. RNAcentral describes it as "tRNA-Glu". Lineage: Eukaryota; Metazoa; Arthropoda; Insecta; Coleoptera; Lampyridae. RNAcentral also lists the same sequence under 1 other name. The record is from RNAcentral.